GGAGCCUUUGGAGAGAUUGAAAACAUUGAACCUCCCAUGGAUACAAAAACAAAUGAAAGAAGAAGAUUUUGUUUUAUCACAUACACAGAUGAAGAGCCGGUUAAAAAAUUGUUAAAGAGCAGAUACCAUCAAAUUGGCUCUGGGAAGUGUGAGAUCAAAGUCGCGCAACCCAAAGAGGUCUGCAGGCAGCAGAAGAAAGGCGGGAGAGGCGCUGCCACCGGUGGCCGAGGCGGGGCAAGGGGGUGUGGUCGAGGUCAGGGCCAAGACCGGAACCAAGGAUUUAAUAACUAUUGUGAUCCAGGAUAUGGAAAUCACAAUAGUGCCUAUGGUGGUGAUCAAAACUAUAGUGGCUAUGGCGGAUAUGAUUAUACUGGGUAUAACUAUGGGCACUAUGGAUAUGGACAGGGAUAUGCAGACUACAGUGACCAACAGAGCCCUUACGGCAAGGCAUCUCGAGGGGGUGGCAAUCACCAAAGCAGUUACCAGCCAUACUAAAGGAGGACCUUGGAGGAAGCAGGAGGAGAUGUUUUAAAAGUAAUCCAUCUUGCAGGACGACAUUGAAGAUUGGUCUUCUGUUGAUCUGAGAUGAUUAUUUUGUAAAAGACUUUCUAGUGCACAAGACACAGCUGUGUCCAGCUGUAUAUAGCUGCCAACCAGUUUUCUUUGUUUCUACUUUGUCCUUUGCUAUCUGUGUUACAACUCAGUGUGGAUUUGUGUUUAUACACAUUUUUAUUUGUAUCAUUCCAUGUUAAACCUCAAAUAAAUGCUUCCUUAUGUGAUUGUUAAAAAAAAAAAA
This is an RNA transcript of Carlito syrichta (Philippine tarsier), 796 nucleotides long. It is a transcript of the gene named heterogeneous nuclear ribonucleoprotein D-like pseudogene, with no coding region annotated. The record is from RefSeq and is a predicted model, not a curated record. The transcript has a single exon. NCBI's taxonomy places the organism in Eukaryota, Metazoa, Chordata, Mammalia, Primates, Tarsiidae.